This 433-nucleotide ribosomal RNA is filed under the name uncultured bacterium. Its description in RNAcentral is "partial 16S ribosomal RNA". It matches the Rfam family "Bacterial small subunit ribosomal RNA", at positions 29 to 507 of the family's 1533-position model. The record is from RNAcentral.
AACGAACGCUGGCGGCAUGCCUAACACAUGCAAGUCGAACGAGACCUUCGGGUCUAGUGGCGCACGGGUGCGUAACGCGUUGGAACCUGCCCUUAGGUUCGGAAUAACUCCCCGAAAGGGGUGCUACUACCGGAUAAUGUCUUCGGACCAAAGAUUUAUCGCCUUUGGAUGGGCCCGCGUUGGAUUAGCUAGUUGGUAGGGUAAAAGCCUACCAAGGCGACGAUCCAUAGCUGGUCUGAGAGGAUGAUCAGCCACACUGGGACUGAGACACGGCCCAGACUCCUACGGGAGGCAGCAGUGGGGAAUAUUGGACAAUGGGCGAAAGCCUGAUCCAGCAAUGCCGCGUGAGUGAUGAAGGCCUUAGGGUUGUAAAGCUCUUUUACCCGGGAUGAUAAUGACAGUACCGGGAGAAUAAGCGCCGGCUAACUUCGUG